Molecule: unclassified non-coding RNA, 377 nt
Filed under: plant metagenome
Description: partial contains 5.8S ribosomal RNA, internal transcribed spacer 2, and large subunit ribosomal RNA
Rfam family: 5.8S ribosomal RNA (bases 1-105)
Source: RNAcentral
GAAAUGCGAUAAGUAAUGUGAAUUGCAGAAUUCAGUGAAUCAUCGAAUCUUUGAACGCACCUUGCGCUCCUUGGUAUUCCUUGGAGCAUGCCUGUUUGAGUAUCAUGAAAUCUUCAAAGUAAAUCUUUUGUUAACUCAAUUGGUUUCUACUUUGGUAUUGGAGGUCUUUGCAGCUUACACCUGCUCCUCUUUGUUCAUUAGCUGGAUCUCAGUGUUAUGCUUGGUUCCACUCGGCGUGAUAAGUUAUCUAUCGCUGAGGACACUGUAAAAGGUGGCCAAGGUAAAUGCAGAUGAACCGCUUCUAAUAGUCCAUUGACUUGGACAAUACUUUUAUGAUCUGAUCUCAAAUCAGGUAGGACUACCCGCUGAACUUAAGC